RNAcentral lists this ribosomal RNA (440 nucleotides) under uncultured bacterium. Its description in RNAcentral is "partial 16S ribosomal RNA". It matches the Rfam family "Bacterial small subunit ribosomal RNA", at positions 338 to 795 of the family's 1533-position model. The record is from RNAcentral.
CCUACGGGAGGCAGCAGUGGGGAAUAUUGCACAAUGGGGGAAACCCUGAUGCAGCGACGCCGCGUGAAGGAUGAAGGAUUUCGGUAUGUAAACUUCUAUCAGCAGGGAAGAAAAUGACGGUACCUGACGAAGAAGCACCGGCUAACUACGUGCCAGCAGCCGCGGUAAUACGUAGGGGGCAAGCGUUAUCCGGAUUUACUGGGUGUAAAGGGGGCGUAGGCGGUAUGGCAAGUCUGAUGUGAAAACCCGGGGCUCAACCCCUGGACUGCAUUUGAAACUGCCGAACUAGAGUGUCGGAGAGGCAAGUGGAAUGCGUGGGGUAGCGGUGAAAUGCGUAGAUAUUAGGAAGAACACCAGUGGCGAAGGCGGCUUGCUGGACGAUGACUGACGUUGAGGCUCGAAAGCGUGGGGAUCAAACAGGAUUAGAUACCCUUGUAGUC